Molecule: transfer RNA, 72 nt
Filed under: Capra hircus (goat)
Lineage: Eukaryota; Metazoa; Chordata; Mammalia; Artiodactyla; Bovidae
Also listed under: 1 other name
Rfam family: tRNA
About the family: Transfer RNA (tRNA) molecules are approximately 80 nucleotides in length. Their secondary structure includes four short double-helical elements and three loops (D, anti-codon, and T loops). Further hydrogen bonds mediate the characteristic L-shaped molecular structure. tRNAs have two regions of fundamental functional importance: the anti-codon, which is responsible for specific mRNA codon recognition, and the 3' end, to which the tRNAs corresponding amino acid is attached (by aminoacyl-tRNA synthetases). tRNAs cope with the degeneracy of the genetic code in two manners: having more than one tRNA (with a specific anti-codon) for a particular amino acid; and 'wobble' base-pairing, i.e. permitting non-standard base-pairing at the 3rd anti-codon position.
Source: Rfam by way of RNAcentral
UCCCUGGUGAUCUAGUGGUUAGGAUUUGAUGUUUUCAUUGCCGUGGCCUGGGUUCAAUCCCUGGUCAGGGAA